Non-coding RNA from Melanotaenia boesemani (Boeseman's rainbowfish), 706 nucleotides. NCBI's taxonomy places the organism in Eukaryota, Metazoa, Chordata, Actinopteri, Atheriniformes, Melanotaeniidae. The record is from the annotation of a RefSeq genome assembly.
UGAGGAGAUUCACACUGUGUGAAUGAUGGGAGGAAGAUGCUCUUUGGAAGGGGAACCAGACUAACCAUUGAACCCAAGGUAGAAUACGAACCCGAAUUUUACGAACUGAAGAGCAAAGAUGGAAACACCAAGGCAUGCCUGGCCACCGGUUUUACAAGACAAAAUGGUGCUGAAGAUAAAAAGUCCAAGUUGUUCAAAAACACGGAGCCUGGACGGAUAUCUUCAGAUCUCGGCAUCUACAACCAAGUGGCUUUAAUGGACGGAGACACUGACGAAUGCGAAGGUAAACCUGAAGGAACCGGUGAAUCUAAGCCCUGCACGGUUGAACUGGAACCAGAUACGAUAAUCAACACGGCGGCCUUCACCAUCCUCGGGCUCAGAGUGAUCUUCCUCAAGACCAUCGUCUUCAACGUCCUGAUGACGCUGCGGCUGUGGAUCAGUCAUUAAACUGGUCAGAAAAGUUCGAGAAGACGGUUGACGGGAGACAUGGAGGUCGCUGAUCUUCACCGUGUACAGAUAUCAUAUAUUCACCGUUAAUACCACAGCGAGGACAGAUUAAUGCUGCCCUGCGGUUUAUGAGCUUUUCGUUAUUUUAAAGCAGCUUUUUGUCUUGUUUUUAUGAACAAAUGAAUGUUUCCUCUUUGUGUAAAUAUGAAAGAUGAUUUUCUGCUCUGUGUGAAACUUCCUGUUUAAAUAAAACUCACAA